AACACAAAUUGUUUUUGUUUGGUUUGUGGACAAAGACUUAGACAAGUGGGAAAAAUAAAUCCUUUUUUGUAAUCCAGAACUCACUGUUCAAGUAUGAGUUUUGGAUACAGAUAAGAAGGAAUAUG
Callorhinus ursinus (northern fur seal) is the source of this 125-nucleotide small nucleolar RNA. RefSeq annotates it as small nucleolar RNA SNORA40. The record is from RefSeq and is a predicted model, not a curated record. NCBI's taxonomy places the organism in Eukaryota, Metazoa, Chordata, Mammalia, Carnivora, Otariidae.